RNAcentral lists this ribosomal RNA (484 nucleotides) under uncultured bacterium. Its description in RNAcentral is "partial 16S ribosomal RNA". It matches the Rfam family "Bacterial small subunit ribosomal RNA", at positions 30 to 507 of the family's 1533-position model. The record is from RNAcentral.
AUUGAACGCUGGCGGCAGGCCUAACACAUGCCAGUCGAGCGGAUGAAGGGAGCUUGCUCCUGGAUUCAGCGGCGGACGGGUGAGUAAUGCCUAGGAAUCUGCCUGGUAUUGGGGGAUAACGUCCGGAAACGGGCGCUAAUACCGCAUACGUCCUGAUGGAGAAAGUGGGGGAUCUUCGGACCUCACGCUAUCAGAUGAGCCUAGGUCGGAUUAGCUAGUUGGUGGGGUAAAGGCCUACCAAGGCGACGAUCCGUAACUGGUCUGAGAGGAUGAUCAGUCACACUGGAACUGAGACACGGUCCAGACUCCUACGGGAGGCAGCAGUGGGGAAUAUUGGACAAUGGGCGAAAGCCUGAUCCAGCCAUGCCGCGUGUGUGGAGAAGGUCUUCGGAUUGUAAAGCACUUUAAGUUGGGAGGAAGGGCAGUAAGUUAAUACCUGGCUGUUUUGACGGUACCAACAGAAUAAGCACCGGCUAACUUCGUG